Molecule: transfer RNA, 71 nt
Filed under: Spiribacter salinus M19-40
Lineage: Bacteria; Pseudomonadati; Pseudomonadota; Gammaproteobacteria; Chromatiales; Ectothiorhodospiraceae
Rfam family: tRNA
About the family: Transfer RNA (tRNA) molecules are approximately 80 nucleotides in length. Their secondary structure includes four short double-helical elements and three loops (D, anti-codon, and T loops). Further hydrogen bonds mediate the characteristic L-shaped molecular structure. tRNAs have two regions of fundamental functional importance: the anti-codon, which is responsible for specific mRNA codon recognition, and the 3' end, to which the tRNAs corresponding amino acid is attached (by aminoacyl-tRNA synthetases). tRNAs cope with the degeneracy of the genetic code in two manners: having more than one tRNA (with a specific anti-codon) for a particular amino acid; and 'wobble' base-pairing, i.e. permitting non-standard base-pairing at the 3rd anti-codon position.
Source: Rfam by way of RNAcentral
GCGGCUGUAGCUCAAUGGUAGAGCGUUGCCCUCCCAAGGCAAUGAUGCCGGUUCGAUCCCGGUCAGCCGCU